AGUCGAGCGGUAAGGCCCUUCGGGGUACACGAGCGGCGAACGGGUGAGUAACACGUGGGUGAUCUGCCUCGCACUCUGGGAUAAGCCUGGGAAACUGGGUCUAAUACCGGAUAUGACCUUACAUCGCAUGGUGUUUGGUGGAAAGAUUUAUCGGUGCGAGAUGGGCCCGCGGCCUAUCAGCUUGUUGGUGGGGUAAUGGCCUACCAAGGCGACGACGGGUAGCCGGCCUGAGAGGGCGACCGGCCACACUGGGACUGAGACACGGCCCAGACUCCUACGGGAGGCAGCAGUGGGGAAUAUUGCACAAUGGGCGAAAGCCUGAUGCAGCGACGCCGCGUGAGGGAUGACGGCCUUCGGGUUGUAAACCUCUUUCGACAGGGACGAAGCGCAAGUGACGGUACCUGUAGAAGAAGCACCGGCCAACUACGUGCCAGCAGCCGCGGUAAUACGUAGGGUGCGAGCGUUGUCCGGAAUUACUGGGCGUAAAGAGCUUGUAGGCGGCUUGUCGCGUCGAUCGUGAAAACUUGGGGCUCAACCCCAAGCUUGCGGUCGAUACGGGCAGGCUUGAGUACUUCAGGGGAGACUGGAAUUCCUGGUGUAGCGGUGAAAUGCGCAGAUAUCAGAGGAACACCGGUGGCGAACGCGGGUCUCUGGGAAGUAACUGACGCUGAGAAGCGAAAGCGUGGGUAGCGAACAGGAUUAGAUACCCUGGUAGUCCACGCCGUAACGGUGGGUACUAGGUGUGGGUUUCCUUCCACGGGAUCCGUGCCGUAGCUAAGCAUUAAGUACCCCGCCUGGGAGUACGGCCGCAAGGCUAAACUCAAAGGAAGUGACUGGGGCCCGCACAAGCGGCAGGAGCAUGUGAUCAUUCGAUGCAACGCGAAGACCUUAACUGGGUUU
This 900-nucleotide ribosomal RNA is filed under the name Nocardia cyriacigeorgica. Its description in RNAcentral is "bacterial SSU rRNA". It matches the Rfam family "Bacterial small subunit ribosomal RNA", at positions 60 to 982 of the family's 1533-position model. The record is from RNAcentral. Lineage: Bacteria; Bacillati; Actinomycetota; Actinomycetes; Mycobacteriales; Nocardiaceae.